GUUAGUUUCAUUAUACAAUAUCCAAAGAAAUGGGCUAACAUCGGCAAUAAUAUAAAGUAAGGCGGGGGACUAGACUCUUAUAAUGGGCUGGCAAGCAUCAGGCCCAUUUAAAUCAACUAGCAAUAGGUUUCAACAACAGUAAUGCGGCGAGGAGAGUGGUAGCCCGGUUCAUUGAACUUGGUCCAGAGUUCACAAUGAACUCCACUGGUCGAGUGUGCUCAUGCAAAAGGAGAAGAGGAUUAAUUAGUAUGUGCAUAUAGAAUGUAAAAGCAGAAACAUAAGAGAUGAAUAAAAUUAUAAUCUAAAGUAACAAAGCAAGUCAAAUAAUAUUUGUGAUAAACCUCUAGAUAUUAGUUUAAGUCAAUAUCCAUUGUCUAGAUUGGACCACGCUCCCCUCUCAAGGUUUUUCUUUGACUCCUGGCACUUUCUAGUUCACAAAAGGCCCACAAUAUUUAUUCCAGGGAGGGACUCCUUGUAGUAGAGUCAAAUCCACAGCAAAGGCCAAUAGUAACUAAUAUUUGUUCCUCCGUGAAGGUUUGAACACAAAUAUCAACUUUGAGCUUCAAACAAUAGUUUGACCAAAUAGACUCAAAGAAUUCUUACAAGUAAACUUCUAAAACAUUGAGAGUCUAGCACAGUGCCUCAAAUCAUCAAUAGAAAAUCACUUGUGACUGAGUACCAAGACAUUAGAAACUUGAAAUCUAAAUGAACCUAAACCAGCUUUAGGGCAGUUGUAAGGCUCCGUAAAAAUUUACAAAAGAAAAUAAUAUUUUGGGUUGAACAAUGCACUGGAAAGGAAAGAAAAAAUUUGGGCAGAAGAAAUGCACUUCUGCGGCCCACUAUGCGAUCGCGGAAUCACUCUGCGGACCGCAUAAUGGUCGCAGAGUGAGGCAGGGAAGGGCAAUUUUGGAGACCAGGUUUGCAGCGCAUUAUGCAACCACAGACCAAUUCUGCGGUGCAUUAUUCGACCGCAGAACAGGUCUGCGAGCCGCAUAAUUACCGCAGACCAGGUCAGUCACGCCCAGUUUUGGAGGCAAAACUAUGCGGACCGCAUAUCAAUUAUGCGAUCGCAGACCUUGUUCCGUAGCUUCAUUUUUGUAUUUUUAAAACCCGACCCUACUUCGUUAAAUACACGCUUUGGGCUAUUUUUGAGAUAAAAUCUGACACUUUUAAAGUUAGAGAGUGCCCUAGAGUGAGAAGGUGUUCUUCAACAGUUUGUUUUUCAAUUCUUGCUCGAAUCUUGGAAGAUUAACAAGGAAAAACUCCCUAGGUCUUCAUCCUAAAGGUAAUAUUCUACACCCUAACCCUCAAUUUCGAAUUUUAUCUAGAAUUUGGUUAUUAGCAAGAUAAUUUUGGGCUUGGGAGUUGUCCAUCUUACAUGUAUGUAUUAUCAAAGGGUGUAGGAAGAUUGUGAAGCUAAAAACGGUAAAUAAUGGGUUGUGGUAUGAUAGAAUCCUCUAUAAAAGGACCUUGAAACCUUAAUGCACACCUAGUGUUUUAUAAACUACUCAAAUGAGCUAGAAACAAGAUCAUCUUCCUAUUUUUUGAUCAAUUUGUUAUAUUUCUACAUUAGAUUAAAGUUUCAAAGAAUUACGGAACCUUUUAGAGUUUAAGGAAGUUCAACUGAGGUAUGUUGACUAAACCUUUCUCUUAGAAUUGAAUCCCACGAUAUUCAUGUAAUCUAUGUAAGUCCCGAGUGGUUCAUUAUGAAAUUGGCUAUUCCUAGUAAGAUUGUGUUAAAAGUUAUAUGUUUAAUAAGUACCCCAAAUACCUUAUUUAUGGUACGUUAUCAAUUGAGGAUGUGAUAAUAAUAUUAGCUGGACAUUAAAAAUGUUCGACUUGAAGUCAAAUUCAAACGAAGGCUAUUAUGCCAAAUUUUGUGAAGAAUCUCUAUUUGCCUUAGACUCUUAAUUGCUCACAUGUGUACUACAUGCCUUUAUUUGGAUUGUUGUUUUUGUUAUUGAUGAUGUUGAUGUUAGAAAGUGAAAAGGUGAGCAUGGAAUACUAAAUGCGGCCAACGUGCCAAGAAUGAUUUUAUAAAUAUGGCCAUUAGUGCCAAUGAAAUGAAAAUAUGUGAAAGAACUAUGAAAUGCGAUGAUUGAUAUAAAAAGGUUGAUGUCUCGAAUAAGACAGCCUAGACGAUCAGGUCGUGAUCGGACACCAUGACGCACACAUGGUGAUGAUUGUGCUUGAAAUUCUGAUUUGUGGUCGAUGUCUCCAAUGAGAUAGCCUAGCCGAUCGGGUCGUCAUCAGAUUCCGUGUUAAAGGUACGAUGGUAUUGAUAUUGAGGGUGAUUGUGGUUGAUGUCUCGAAUGAGAUAGCCUAGCCGAUCGGGUCGUGAUGGGACUCCGUGCUAAGAGUACAAUGUUAUUGGUUUUGUGAAUAAUGGUAUUGUGAACGAUGAUAUAUUUGUACUAAGAAUCUCCAACUUAAAAAAAUAUGGAAAUUAAUUUGAAUACAGUCUUGAUCCUAAGUUGAGGUUUGAUGCUUUUUAAGGCUUCCAUUGAUAUUAUGAUAUUCUUAUUUGUUUUAUUUAUCAUUCUAUUCAGAGGGUGUUUUGUCAUUCAUACUAGUACUAUUCCAUAUGUACUAAUGUCCCUUUUUCCGAUGGUGCUGCAUCUUCAAUGGAUGCAGGUGGUUCCACAUCUAGUGAUAUUGAUCAGUGAUAGCGGUACAUCCUCUUCCCAGCUGACUUGGUGAGCCCCACUUCAUUUCGGGGUUAUGUAUCUUUUGUUCGUCGCGUAUUGUGUUUGAGGUAUAGCCGGGCCUUGUUGCCGACAUUAUCAUAGUACUCUUUUGUAUAUAUCAAAGGCUCCGUAGACUGUGAGUUGUGUACUGGUGUUGGGAAAGUCAAACUAUAUGGUGUUGUGGUUGUAUUACUUGUUCUAUUUAAGAAUUUAAAAUAAUGGAACUAUUGGUAAUAAAUUGGUAUUGUAGACAUGAGCAUCUUAUUGUCUAAUUAACAAAAAUGUGCAUCCUAUUUAUUAAUGGAUGAGUUUGCUCGGCCGGGUUCACUCGGUUGAGCGUCGGUCGCGCUCUAUAGUUUUGAGGCGUGACAAACUUGGCAUCGGAGCCUAAUGUUUUAAAGUGUCCUAGGAUAUCUUGGAGCCGUGUCUAGUAGAGUCUUUCUUAUCGGUAUGUUGUCGACCACAUCUAUAAUUAGGAUGAUACUUGGGGAUUUACGAAUAAUACCCUUCUUUCAUUUUCUUGAUCGUGCGAUAAACCUGGAUGUAAGAUUGUUCCUAUUUUAACUCGAGCUUUACUUUAACUUUCUAUAUAUUGCACCUAAGAAGAAGGCAAGAAUUGGCCAAAGAGCCAAUGUCACCCUAGGAGUAACAGUUGAUUCUAUAUAUGGUGAUGCGGGUGAGAAGCCAAGGAGUGAGAAUAUUCCUCCAGUUACUACACUACAUGAUUCUACUACAAGUGAUCAGACCGCACCUAUCCCUACACCUACUAAGGGUACAACGGUCCCUCUAACUGAUAUACCAAUUCCACCUCCAGUUCCAGCUUCUGAUUCUGGUGUUUCUGAUGUUGAUCUUCCAGGAGCCAUACAUAUGUUGUCUCUGAUAGUGGCUGCCCAAGCCUAGAGAUCAAAUGUUACACCUACUUCUUCCAGUCAACCAGGGGAUUCUACUAGUUCAAGGGUGAACAAGUUUCUCCAGUUGGAUCCUCCAAUGUUCGCGGGUACUAACCCAGAGGAGGAUCCAUAGGACUUCAUUGAUGAGACGCACAAGACUCUCUGAGUUAUGCAUGCUAUUGAGAUAGAUGAAUUGGAAUUAUCCUCCUACUACCUUAAAGAGGUGGCAUAUUCUUGGUUUGAACUAUGGGUGGAGUCCCGUGAAGAAGGGAACCCUCCGACGAGGUGGGGUGAGUUUGCCAAUGCAUUCAUUGAUCAUUUAUUUCCUACCAAGACUAAGGCAACAUGUGCUGCUGUGUUUGAGAACCUGAGGCACGAUUGCCUGAGUGUGUGGGAUUACCACAUAAGAUUCCGGUACCUAUCCAAGUAUGCUAUUUACAUGUUUCCUACUAUGGAGGCUAGAGUGCGACGAUUUGUUCACAGCCUUAGUCCCUUAGUAAUUAAUGAGGCCACUACAACUGCCUUGAAUUAUAAUAUGAACUAUGGAAAGAUGGUGGCAUUCGCUCAAGCCACCGAGAUCUGCAAAUUGAGGAACAUAAUGGAGACAGAGUGUAGUAAUCAGGCCUGGUUUGCGGGAAACUUUGGUGGUUCUUCUGGUGGCGGAAGGUCAGCCUUUAGGGGAGGGUCAUCAGCGCCAUCACAGUACCUUGCUCAGUCUUAGGCUAGUGCACUUCCAUAAGGGCCCAGUCAACAGCAGGGUCAUCAUGGUGGUAGUUUCCAGCAGCAGAGGAGGCCCUCGUGCCCUAGGAAUAGAAAGAUGCACCUAGUAAUAUUCUACAUGGACUUACCCAUAUGCUACAUAUGCAGAUUGAGGGGUCACAUUCAUAGGAAUUAUCGUUCGUCCCGCCAUGGGGCAGGCAGGGGCACUGCACAUCCAGCCAGUUCUGCAGCUACUACAUCCGUAAUACCUCCUCCAACUCAAGGCACUCAAAUACCUGCUGGGCUUGGUGGAGCUAGGGGUGGGGCACAAAGUUGGGGAGGAUCUGACCAUUUCUUUGCUAUAAGGGGUCGCCAGAAUUCAGAGGCUUCUCCAGAUGUGGUGAUAGGUAUAUUGACUGUCCAAUCUCAGAUGUGUAUGAUCUUAUUGAUCUAGGUUAUACUUUUUCAUAUGUCACACCUUAUGUUACUAUGGAAUUUGGGAUAGAACAGGAACAACUUCAAGAGUCAUUAUAUGCAUCUACUCCGGUUGGUGAGUUUAAUUUGGCCGCACAAGUUUAUAGGGAUUGUAUUAUCACGUUGCGUUGUCGGGACACCGUAGUUGAUCUUAUUGAAUUGAGAAUGGUCUAUUUUUAUGUGAUAAUGGGAAUGGAUUGGAUUUAUUCAUGUUUGACCAAACUUGAUUUCCGAAACAAAACUGUUAGGUUCAAAUUUCCAAAUGAGCCAGUUAUUGAAUGGAAGGGUGAUGAUGUAGUGUUGAAGGGUAGGUUUAUUUCUUACCUUAAGGCCACGAAAAGGAUCAACAAGGGGUGUAUUUACCAUUUGGUUUGGGUUUUGGACACCGAUUUUGAGGCACCUACACUUAAGUCAGUUCUUAUUGUGAAUGAAUUUUUGCAAGUCUUUCCGGAUAAACUCCAUGAAAUCCCACCUGACAGUGAGAUUGAUUUUGGGAUUGACGUGAUGCCAGACAUGCAUCCUAUAUCUAUUCCACCCUACCGAAUGGCACCAUUAAAAUUUAAGGAGCUAAAUGAACAAUUAAGAGACUUGUUAGAAAAGGGUUUCAUCCGACCGAGUGUGUCACCUUGGGGCGCACUGAUGAUUUCUGUAAGGAAGAAAGAUUUGUCACUGAGAAUGUGUAUUGGUUAUCAAUAACUUAAGAAGGUCACAAUCAAGAAUAAGUACUCACUGCCAAGGAUAAAUGACUUGUUUGACCAAUUACAAGGUGAUAAGUACUUGUCCAAAAUUGAUUUACGAUCCAGAUAUCAUCAAUUGAAGACCAGAGAGACACAUGUUCCGAAAAUGGCUUUUAGAACCAGGUAUGGGCAUUUUGAAUUUUUGGUGAUGUCUUUUGGGCUAACAAAUGCCCCAGUGGCAUUUAUGGAUCUUAUGAAUCGGGUAUUCAAACCUUUCCUCAACUCCUUCAUGAUAGUGUUCAUUGAUGAUAUUCUUGUUUGUUCGCGGAGUCAAGAGGACCAUGCCGAUCAUAUCAUGGUAGUUUUGUAGACUCUGUAUCAGCAGUUUUGAAAUGUGAAUUUUGGCUUGAAUUUGUUAUAUUAUUGGGUCAUGUUGUCUUUAGAGAAGGAAUUAUUGUUGUUCCUCAAAAUAUUGCAGUUGUGAAGAAUUGGCCGAGGCUUACAACUCCAACAGAGAUUCGCAGUUUCUUAGGCUUAGCUGGGUAUUACAGAAAAUUUAUGGAGGGUUUUUCUAUCCUUACCUCUCCGUUGACUAAAUUGACGCAGAAGGUAAUUAAGUUCCAAUGGUCAGAUGCUUGUGAAAGGAGCUUCGAGGAGUUGAAAUUGAGAUUGACUAUGGCACCAGUGUUGGAUCUACUAGACGAUAUUGAUGGAUUUGUAGUAAAUUGUGAUGCUUCGAGAAUCAGACUUGGGUGUGUAUUAUUGCAACACGACAAGGUGAUAGCUUAUGCUUCCAGGCAACUCAAGAAUCAUGAAAAGAACUAUCCAGCACAUGACUUAGAACUUGUGGCGGUAGUAUUUGUAUUGAAAAUUUUGCUUCAUUAUUUAUAGGGGGUCCAUGUGGAUAUAUUCACGGACCAUAAGAUCCUUCAAUAUAUUGUCAAGCAGAAGGAAUUGAAUUUGAGGCAAUGAAUAUGGCUUGAGUUACAUAAGGACUAUGACAUUGAUAUUCUAUAUCAUCCGAGGAAGGCUAAUGUUGUGGCAGAUACUCUUAGCUAGAAUUCUAUGGGUAGUUUAGCACACUUGGAGGUAUAUCAACGGUCAUUGGCCGAGGAAGUUUACCGAUUGGAUAGUUUGGGGGUUAGUCUUGCGGACUCUAGUGAAGGAGGGGUAAUUGUGCAAAAUAGGGCUGAAUCAUCGCUUGUUGUGGAAGUCAAAGAGAAGAAAUACAACGAUCCAUUAUUGGUGCAAUUGAAAGAGGUGAUUCAUAAACAUAAGACCAUGGCCUUUUCUCUUGGCAUGGGUCAUGGUACACUAAGAUACCAAGGGAGUCUAUGUGUUCCAAAUAUAGAUGGUCUCCGAGAGAAAAUCAUGAUAGAGGCUCACACUUCUAGGUAUUCUAUGCAUCCGGGUUCUACAAAUAUGUAUCAUGAUCUUAAAGAAGUCUAUUGGUGGAAUGAUAUGAANNNNNNNNNNNNNNNNNNNNNNNNNAAGAAGAUGAUUGUGUGUUCUUGAAUGUUUUACCCAUGAAAGAUAUAAUGUGAUUUGGUAAGAAAGGGAAAUUGAGUCCGAGGUAUGCCAGGCCGUACAGAAUCAUUCAGAGGAUCGGUGAGGUAGUGUACAAGCUUGAGCUACCACCGGAUAUAUCAUUGGUACACCCGGUGUUUCAUGUGUCUAUGUUGAAGAAAGUAAUUGGAGUCCCAACACUCAUUGUUCCGGUUGAGACUAUGGAUAUUAAUGAGGAAUUAACUUAUGAAGCGAUUCGAGUUUAUAUUAUUGAUAGGCAAGUCCAUAAGUUGAGAAAUAAGGAAAUUACCUCGGUGAAUGUGAUAUGGAGAAACCACCAAGUUGAAAAGGCUACUUGGGAGGCCGAGGAAGAAAUGAAGAAAAAGUAUACUUAUUUGUUUGAAUAGACAUGUAUUUAUAAUCUUGUGAUCUAUGAAAAUUCUAAGAGUUACUUUCUAUGAAUUAUGUAUCAUUUGUACAAAUUGACGUUAAGGGUGUUCCUUUUUGGUAAUAUAUUGCUUGUGAGGCCACAAUUGGUGUUGUUUUGUGUUAUGUUACAUCGUUGGAUUCUGUAUAUGUUGUUAGGAUGUGUUUUGGGAUUAUUUGACAUGUGGAUAGGCCCAGUUACAGGGGAGACUCUAGCGAAUGUUUUGGAAAUUUAGGGAGUUAGCCAAAUUUUGAAACUACUGGUGAGCGUGAAUUAACAGUUAGGCCACAUUUGAUGCUAAUAAUAGAUUGUGACCCUCAUUCGAUGACAAAUGAUCCUAAGUGGGGGAGAAUGUAAGGCCCCGUAAAAAUUUGAAAAAGAAAAUAAUAUUUUAUGGGGCUGGACUAGGCUUACGUGUUUGAGGAUUGUAGAGGAAAAAUGCACUGGAAAGUAAAGGAAAUAUUUGGGCAGAAGAAAUGCACUUCUGCAUGCGGCAGUGAUGGGCAAUUAUGAGACCAGGUUUGCAGUGCAUUAUGCGACUGCACACCAAUUCUGCGGUGCAUUAUGCGACUGCAGAACAGGUCUGCGGACCACAUAAUGACCGCAGACCAGGUCAGUCAUGCCUAGUUUUGGAUGCCAAAUUAUGCGGCCGAUAGGCGAACCGCAUAUCAAUAUUGCGAUCCCAUAUGCGAUCACAAACCUUGUUCCGUAGCUUCAUUUUUGUAUUUUUAAAACCCGACCCUACUUCGUUAAAUACACGCUUUGGGCUAUUUUUGAGAAAAAAUCUGACACUUUUAAAGUUAGAGAGUGCCCUAGAGUGAGAAGGUGUUCUUCAACAGUUUGUUUUUCAAUUCUUGCUCGAAUCUUGGAAGAUUAACAAGGAAAAACUCCCUAGGUCUUCAUCCUAAAGGUAAUAUUCUACACCCUAACCCUCAAUUUCGAAUUUUGUCUAGAAUUUGGUUAUUAGCAAGAUAAUUUUGGGCUUGGGAGUUGUCCAUCUUACAUGUAUGUAUUAUCAAAGGGUGUAGGAAGAUUGUGAAGCUAAAAACGGUAAACAAUGGGUUGUGGUAUGAUAGAAUCCUCUAUAAAAGGACCUUGAAACCUUAAUGCACACCUAGUGUUUUAUAAACUACUCAAAUGAGCUAGAAACAAGAUCAUCUUCCUAUUUUUUGAUCAAUUUGUUAUAUUUCUACAUUAGAUUAAAGUUUCAAAGAAUUACGGAACCUUUUAGAGUUUAAGGAAGUUCAACUGAGGUAUGUUGACUAAACCUUUCUCUUAGAAUUGAAUCCCACGAUAUUCAUGUAAUCUAUGUAAGUCCCGAGUGGUUCAUUAUGAAAUUGGCUAUUCCUAGUAAGAUUGUGUUAAAAGUUAUAUGUUUAAUAAGUACCCCAAAUACCUUAUUUAUGGUACGUUAUCAAUUGAGGAUAUGAUAAUAAUAUUAGCUGGACAUUAAAAAUGUUCGACUUGAAGUCAAAUUCAAACGAAGGCUAUUAUGCCAAAUUUUGUGAAGAAUCUCUAUUUGCCUUAGACUCUUAAUUGCUCACAUGUGUACUACAUGCCUUUAUUUGGAUUGUUGUUUUUGUUAUUGAUGAUGUUGAUGUUAGAAAGUGAAAAGGUGAGCAUGGAAUACUAAAUGCGGCCAACGUGCCAUGAAUGAUUUUAUAAAUAUGGCCAUUAGUGCCAAUGAAAUGAAAAUAUGUGAAAGAACUAUGAAAUGCGAUGAUUGAUAUAAAAAGGUUGAUGUCUCGAAUAAGACAGCCUAGCCGAUCAGGUCGUGAUCGAAUACCAUGCCGCACACAUGGUGGUGAUUGUCUUGAAAUUAUGAUUUGUGGUCGUGUAUCCAAUGAGAUAGCCUAGCCUAGUCAAUCGGAUCGUGAUCAGAUUCCAUGUUAAAUGUAUGGUGCUAUUGAUAUUGAGGGUGAUUGUGGUUGAUGUCUUUAAUGCUAUAUCCUAGUCGAUCGGAUCAUGAUCGGACUCCGUGCUUUGAGUACAGUGGUAUUGUUAUUGUGAAUAAUUGUAUUUGAACGAUGGUAUAUCAAUAAUAAGAAUCUUCAACUUAAAAAUAUGGAAAUUAAUUUGAAUACUAUCUUGAUCCUAAAAUUGAGGUUUGAUGUUGUUUAAGGCUUCGAUUGAUAUUAUGAUAUUCUUGUUUGUUUUAUUUAUCAUUCUAUUGAGAGGGUAUUUUGUCAGUCAUACUAGUACUAUUCCAUAUGUACUAACGUCCUUUUUGAAGGGGCAGCUGCCUCUUCAAUAGAUGCAGGUGGUUCCACAGCAGGAGAUAUUGAUUAGUGCUAGUGGUACGUCCUCUUCCCAGCUGAGUUGGUGAGCCCCACUUCAUUUCGGGAUUAUGUAUCUUUUGUUCCCCACGUAUUGUUUUUGAGGUAUAGCCGAGGCCUUGUUGCCGCCAUUAUCAUAGUACUCUUUUGUAUCUAUUAGAGACCCCAUAGACAUAGUGUGAGUUGUGUAUUGGUGUUGGAAAAGUCAAACUAUGUGGUGUUGUGGUUGUAUUACUUGGUCUAUUUAAGAAUUUAAAAUGAUGGAACUAUUGGUAAUAAAUUGGUAUUGUAGACAUGAACAUCUUAUUGUCUAAUUAACAAAAAUGUGUAUCCUAUUUAUUCAUGGAUGAGUUUGGAUAGAAGAAAAUCUAAUAGGCUUGGUCUGUCGGGUUCACGCGGUUGAUCGCCGGUCGCGCUCCCCGAUUUUGGCGCGUGAUAGCAGUCACUUAGAAAGCUAAAAAAUACAUAAAUCAGAAGAAUGAUAAAACUUCACAGCAUAUCCAGUAGUCUAGGCUAAGUAUUGUAAAGCUUACAAUUAGUUUCACAUGAAUCAUGCUACGGAGAAUAAGGAAAUGCUAAUAGAACAAGACAUGGUGAACUUCAUCAGAUUGUUUUUCACUUAAACAAAUAAAACCUUAUAGGUAUAGUAUCUAUAGAAACAAGACAAUCUUGUGACAAUAUGGAAUACCAUAUAUAGCUAAUAUAAACAAAGCAAACAAGUGAGUUUAAAUCAACAGAGGUUUAACAAAAACAGAACAAGACUAGUGUUAACGUCAUGAACUAUAACAUUGUAAGUAGACAAAUCUCAUAACAUGCUUCAUAUCCUAUUCAUGAUACAAGGUAUGAAAACACGAAUGUCAACAUGAACUUUCAUCAGUAUAUAUCCAAAUGGUCGAGUAUUAAAAAACACUAUCAGUGUCACACACUCAAAUUCAGACAUUGAGCUGAACGAAAAGGAAUUAAAAUAACCAUCCUUAGGACAACUUACCAGUUUUUUAUUUUUCCGUUAAGGAUUUGUACCCGGAGUCAGCUCAAGAACAAUUAGCCUCGAUUAGAAAUUAAAGAAAAAAAGGAUGGAAAGAUUGUGAGCGGAUAGAAAUUUUAAUUUUCUCGUGUAGUGAAUUUACUCUAUUGAUUUGUGUGUUUGUUAAGGGCAUUAAAGCUUGGUAUUUAUAGCCAAGUAAUUAGUGUUUUAGGGUUUGAGAUUUUGAACUUUUAUGACUAAUUAGUGACGAACUUUGACGAAACAUUUCAUGACGAAAUCUUCAGAAUAAAAUGAAUAAUCAGAGGGAAUAAUAUGUGAAGAUUUUACCCUCUAAAGAUGAUGAAGAACUAGCCGUUUGAAGUCGUUUAACCUCCGUACAAAAAUUUUCCUAGAGGUCCUUGCGUUUGACCUCCAUACCAUCAGAUGUCAUACAGAGGUCAUGAGAUUCCUCCGAAUCUUCUUGAAUCGAAGAUGCAUGCAAGGUUUUAUUGAGGGAUCAGGCGUGAAUGAAAGUUUGAUGAUGAGAUUCUUAGGGUUUAUUUUUUGGGGAUAGUGUUUAGGUGUUUGGAAUUUGAAGGGAGAUGAUAGAAAGGGGAAUGUUUUGGUAGUGAUCUCAUAGUGACCUUGCACGGAUUUAUGCUAGGGUUCAGGUAUUUCCAGAGGUGUGAGAGGAUGAGAGAGAUGAGAGAAAAAGGUUAAGGGGCGGC
RNAcentral lists this long non-coding RNA (11328 nucleotides) under Nicotiana tabacum (common tobacco). RNAcentral's name for it is "long non-coding RNA (NTAB_LNC001221)". The record is from RNAcentral. Lineage: Eukaryota; Viridiplantae; Streptophyta; Magnoliopsida; Solanales; Solanaceae.